This is a long non-coding RNA of Sycon ciliatum, 545 nucleotides long. RefSeq lists it as uncharacterized. The transcript has 3 exons. NCBI's taxonomy places the organism in Eukaryota, Metazoa, Porifera, Calcarea, Leucosolenida, Sycettidae. The record is from RefSeq and is a predicted model, not a curated record.
GCCCUGGAAUUCGACACGAAGAUGUUGUACAAGUGCACUGUGACGUUGGUUAUGAGCUGCAGAAUCAGUCGGCAAGCAGCCGGUUGACGUGCAUGGCGGACCGGCAGUGGAGCGCUGAUGUUCCCGACUGUGUCGCUGUAAAGUGCCCUUCGCCUUUCCCUCUGACCCACACUCCACCACUACCAACUACAGCAACGAACUCAUCCCACAGAAUGCAAAAUACCAGCAGCAGCAGCACUAUUGCUGAAAUUUACCGCUACGGGUUGCUGGUCACGUUUGACUGCGCUGUCGGCUACUAUCGUGUGGGCGCUGCCAAUGCGUCGUGCACGGAGCAUCGCAACUGGAGCAGCCCUCUGCCCGUGUGUCAAGCUGUGACAUGUAAUACGUCAGUGCUAAAGACUGUGCCCAACGCAGGAUACACGCUGGGCGGUUUGACAGAAGUGCCGUUCGAUCAGUCACUCCUAUGGACGUGUGACGUGGGGUAUGAACAGACAGGUGGUAACCUCUCUCAGCUGUGCGAUCACAGUUUGAAUGAACGCGGAUAC